RNAcentral lists this ribosomal RNA (387 nucleotides) under uncultured bacterium. Its description in RNAcentral is "bacterial SSU rRNA". It matches the Rfam family "Bacterial small subunit ribosomal RNA", at positions 28 to 417 of the family's 1533-position model. The record is from RNAcentral.
GACGAACGCUGGCGGCGUGCUUAACACAUGCAAGUCGAGCGGUAAGGCCCUUUCGGGGGUACACGAGCGGCGAACGGGUGAGUAACACGUGGGUGACCUGCCCUUAGCUCUGGGAUAAGCCUGGGAAACUGGGUCUAAUACCGGAUAUGACUCCAUGACGCAUGUUGUGGGGUGGAAAGCCUUGUGCGGCUAGGGGAUGGGCCCGCGGCCUAUCAGCUUGUUGGUGGGGUGAUGGCCUACCAAGGCGACGACGGGUAGCCGGCCUGAGAGGCGACCGGCCACACUGGGACUGAGACACGGCCCAGACUCCUACGGGAGGCAGCAGUGGGGAAUCUUGCGCAAUGGGCGAAAGCCUGACGCAGCGACGCCGCGUGGGGAUGACGGCCU